CAGACGGGUGAGUAACGCGUGGGAACAUACCCCUCGGUUCGGAAUAACUCAGGGAAACUUGAGCUAAUACCGGAUACGUCCGAGGUUUUAAUCGACCUCGGAGAAAGAUUUAUCGCCGGAGGAUUGGCCCGCGUCUGAUUAGCUUGUUGGUGAGGUAAUGGCUCACCAAGGCGACGAUCAGUAGCUGGUCUGAGAGGAUGAUCAGCCACAUUGGGACUGAGACACGGCCCAAACUCCUACGGGAGGCAGCAGUGGGGAAUAUUGGACAAUGGGCGAAAGCCUGAUCCAGCCAUGCCGCGUGAGUGAUGAAGGCCUUAGGGUUGUAAAGCUCUUUUACCCGGGAAGAUAAUGACGGUACCGGGAGAAUAAGCCCCGGCUAACUUCGUGCCAGCAGCCGCGGUAAUACGAAGGGGGCUAGCGUUGUUCGGAAUUACUGGGCGUAAAGCGCACGUAGGCGGAUCUUUAAGUCAGGGGUGAAAUCCCGAGGCUCAACCUCGGAACUGCCUUUGAUACUGGGGAUAUCGAGUCCGGGAGAGGUGAGUGGAACUGCGAGUGUAGAGGUGAAAUUCGUAGAUAUUCGCAAGAACACCAGUGGCGAAGGCGGCUCACUGGCCCGGUACUGACGCUGAGGUGCGAAAGCGUGGGGAGCAAACAGGAUUAGAUACCCUGGUAGUCCACGCCGUAAACGAUGGAUGCUAGCCGUUAGACAGCUUGCUGUUUAGUGGCGCAGUUAACGCGUUAAGCAUCCCGCCUGGGGAGUACGGUCGCAAGAUUAAAACUCAAAGGAAUUGACGGAAUCGA
RNAcentral lists this ribosomal RNA (801 nucleotides) under uncultured bacterium. Its description in RNAcentral is "bacterial SSU rRNA". It matches the Rfam family "Bacterial small subunit ribosomal RNA", at positions 99 to 922 of the family's 1533-position model. The record is from RNAcentral.